This 647-nucleotide ribosomal RNA is filed under the name uncultured Bacteroidota bacterium. RNAcentral describes it as "bacterial SSU rRNA". It matches the Rfam family "Bacterial small subunit ribosomal RNA", at positions 1 to 635 of the family's 1533-position model. Lineage: Bacteria; Pseudomonadati; Bacteroidota. The record is from RNAcentral.
UGGAUCCAGACUUUGAUUCUGGCUCAGGAUGAACGCUAGCUACAGGCUUAACACAUGCAAGUCGAGGGGAAACGACAUCGAAAGCUUGCUUUUGAUGGGCGUCGACCGGCGCACGGGUGAGUAACGCGUAUCCAACCUGCCCACCACUUGGGGAUAACCUUGCGAAAGUAAGACUAAUACCCAAUGAUAUCUCUAGAAGACAUCUGAAAGGGAUUAAAGAUUCAUCGGUGAUGGAUGGGGAUGCGUCUGAUUAGCUUGUUGGCGGGGUAACGGCCCACCAAGGCAACGAUCAGUAGGGGUUCUGAGAGGAAGGUCCCCCACAUUGGAACUGAGACACGGUCCAAACUCCUACGGGAGGCAGCAGUGAGGAAUAUUGGUCAAUGUUCUAUAGCCUGAACCAGCCAAGUAGCGUGCAGGAUGACGGCCCUAUGGGUUGUAAACUGCUUUUAUAAGGGAAUAAAGUGAGCUACGUGUAGCUCUUUGCAUGUACCUUAUGAAUAAGGACCGGCUAAUUCCGUGCCAGCAGCCGCGGUAAUACGGAAGGUCCGGGCGUUAUCCGGAUUUAUUGGGUUUAAAGGGAGCGUAGGCCGGAGAUUAAGCGUGUUGUGAAAUGUAGAUGCUCAACAUCUGCACUGCAGCGCGAACUG